Molecule: long non-coding RNA, 406 nt
Organism: Symphalangus syndactylus (siamang)
Lineage: Eukaryota; Metazoa; Chordata; Mammalia; Primates; Hylobatidae
Source: RefSeq, a predicted model, not a curated record
CCCUUUGGACUUUAGCCGAGGAAGACCGGGCUCCCAAGAGUCUCCCAGGAGUCGGGGCCUUGGGCAGGCUCACAAGGAUGCUGACGGUGAUGGUUGGUGACGGCGAUCUUCAGCCGGUCCCUCCGUCUGGGGUCCCUGACUUCCCGCAACACAGAAGGGCGGAUCACUUGAGGUCAGGAGUUCGAUACCAGCGUGGCCAACAUGGAGAAACCCCGUCUCUACUAAAAAUAGAAAAAUUAGCCGGCUGUCGUGGUGCGCGCCUGUAAUCCCAGCUACCGAAGAAGAAUCACUGGAACCCGGGAAGCAGAGGUUUCAGUGAGCCGAGAGAGCGCCACUGCACCGCAGCCUGGGUGACAGAGCGAAAGAGACUCAGUCCAAAAAAAAGAAAAGAAGAAGAAAAAAAGAA